Long non-coding RNA from Dreissena polymorpha, 334 nucleotides. RefSeq lists it as uncharacterized. Lineage: Eukaryota; Metazoa; Mollusca; Bivalvia; Myida; Dreissenidae. The record is from RefSeq and is a predicted model, not a curated record. The transcript is spliced from 3 exons.
UUUAGGGCUGGGUUGUCGUGAUUUCCUCAGACAGUAGAGAAUGCAUAAUCUCGAAUCCCAGGUACUGUUACCGCAGCUGUUUUAAGCUAGUUCCGUUCGAGGGCCCUGUUGAUGACAACGUGCAGGAUUUUUGCAAGGGGAGACCUAUCAUGCAGCAGGUGCCAGUGCCAUGCGAUCAGAACAUGGGCUGCUGUUGCCGUUGGAGACGCAUUGCAUGGUGGCCCUGCUUGGAACCGGUUUGCCACGCUAACGAUGAGUCUGACAUCUGCGUGGAUUGGGGUUGCGCCAAAUGGGCUUGGCACUGGCACUGGAUUCAAGACUGCGUGAGCGGCUG